RNAcentral lists this long non-coding RNA (263 nucleotides) under Setaria viridis. Its description in RNAcentral is "long non-coding RNA (SVIR_LNC002770)". The record is from RNAcentral. Lineage: Eukaryota; Viridiplantae; Streptophyta; Magnoliopsida; Poales; Poaceae.
GGAUUGCUCCAUGGUGGCAAAUUGGCAGUGGCAGGCGUCCAGACGAUAGGAGAGUAAUCAUUCGAUCAUGUUGGAAUUUGACACCGCGCGGGAAGCGUUGCAAGGCGCAAAUUUGCCAUUCGUGAUCCGAUACUUUUUUUAACAGACUGUGAUACCAGACGUUUUCCUGGGUUUGAGCAGAACUCAUAAACCAAUUAAAAGCUAUCUUACAACAUGUUGAAGGAUCCAUUAGCUCUAAAUGUUAGGUAGCUAAUACUCCCUCC